Molecule: ribosomal RNA, 468 nt
Filed under: uncultured bacterium
Lineage: Bacteria
Description: partial 16S ribosomal RNA
Rfam family: Bacterial small subunit ribosomal RNA
Source: RNAcentral
GACGAACGCUGGCGGCGUGCUUAACACAUGCAAGUCGAACGGAAAGGCCCUGCUUUUGUGGGGUGCUCGAGUGGCGAACGGGUGAGUAACACGUGAGUAACCUGCCCUUGACUUUGGGAUAACUUCAGGAAACUGGGGCUAAUACCGGAUAGGAGCUCCUGCUGCAUGGUGGGGGUUGGAAAGUUUCGGCGGUUGGGGAUGGACUCGCGGCUUAUCAGCUUGUUGGUGGGGUAGUGGCUUACCAAGGCUUUGACGGGUAGCCGGCCUGAGAGGGUGACCGGCCACAUUGGGACUGGGAUACGGCCAAGACUCCUACGGGAGGCAGAAGGGGGGAAAAUGGAAAAAUGGGGGGAGGCCGGAGGCAGCAACGCCGCGUGCGGGAUGACGGCCUUCGGGUUGUAAACCGCUUUCGCCUGUGACGAAGCGUGAGUGACGGUAAUGGGUAAAGAAGCACCGGCUAACUACGUG